This 73-nucleotide transfer RNA is filed under the name Mus musculus (house mouse). It matches the Rfam family "tRNA". Rfam says of the family: Transfer RNA (tRNA) molecules are approximately 80 nucleotides in length. Lineage: Eukaryota; Metazoa; Chordata; Mammalia; Rodentia; Muridae. RNAcentral also lists the same sequence under 1 other name. The record is from Rfam by way of RNAcentral.
UGGGCCAGAGCUUAGUUGGUAGAGCUUUUGUUUCACAUACAUAAAGCCUUGGGUUCAAUCCCCAGCACCCCAU